RNAcentral lists this ribosomal RNA (484 nucleotides) under uncultured bacterium. RNAcentral describes it as "partial 16S ribosomal RNA". It matches the Rfam family "Bacterial small subunit ribosomal RNA", at positions 899 to 1397 of the family's 1533-position model. The record is from RNAcentral.
ACUCAAAUGAAUUGACGGGGACCCGCACAAGCGGUGGAGCGUGUUGUUUAAUUGGACGAUAAGCCAAAAACCUCACCAAGGUUUGACAUCCUCAGAAGCACUACGAAAGUAGAGUGUGCCUUUUGGAACUGAGUGACAGGUGAUGCAUGGCCGUCGUCAGCUCGUGUCGUGAGAUGUUGGGUUAAGUCCCUCAACGAGCGCAACCCUUAUGUUUAGUUGGAUUUUUCUAAACAGACUGCCUCGGUAACGGGGAGGAAGGAGGGGAUGACGUCAGGUCCGUAUUUCCCUUACACCUUGGGCUACAAACACGCUACAAUGGCCGGCACAAUGGGCUGCCAACCCGCGAGGGGGAGCAAAUCCCAUCAAAACCGGUCCCAGUUCGGAUAGCAGGCUGAAACUCGCCUGCUUGAAGUCGGAAUCGCUAGUAACCGUAGGUCAGCACACUACGGUGAAUACGUUCCCGGGUCUUGUACACACCGCCCGU